RNAcentral lists this signal recognition particle RNA (96 nucleotides) under Caulobacter sp. Its description in RNAcentral is "signal recognition particle sRNA small type". It matches the Rfam family "Bacterial small signal recognition particle RNA". From Rfam's summary of the family: The signal recognition particle (SRP) is a universally conserved ribonucleoprotein involved in the co-translational targeting of proteins to membranes. Archaeal SRP consists of a 7S RNA and homologues of the eukaryotic SRP19 and SRP54 proteins. The record is from RNAcentral. Lineage: Bacteria; Pseudomonadati; Pseudomonadota; Alphaproteobacteria; Caulobacterales; Caulobacteraceae.
UCGGAGCCGGCGCGGGCGGACGCCUCGCCAACCUGGUCAGGGCCGGAAGGCAGCAGCCACAACGAGUUUCGCUCCGGGUCGCGCCGGUUCCACCUC